RNAcentral lists this non-coding RNA (26 nucleotides) under Homo sapiens (human). Lineage: Eukaryota; Metazoa; Chordata; Mammalia; Primates; Hominidae. The record is from RNAcentral.
UAAGCACAGAGGAAAGGUCAUGGGAG